GAUGAACGCUGGCGGCGUGCCUAAUACAUGCAAGUCGAGCGCAGGAAGCCGUCUGAACCCUUCGGGGGGACGACGGUGGAAUGAGCGGCGGACGGGUGAGUAACACGUAAAGAACCUACCCAUAGGUCUGGGAUAACCACGAGAAAUCGGGGCUAAUACCGGAUGUGUCAUCGGACCGCAUGGUCCGCUGAUGAAAGGCGCUCCGGCGUCGCCCAUGGAUGGCUUUGCGGUGCAUUAGCUAGUUGGUGGGGUAACGGCCCACCAAGGCGACGAUGCAUAGCCGACCUGAGAGGGUGAUCGGCCACACUGGGACUGAGACACGGCCCAGACUCCUACGGGAGGCAGCAGUAGGGAAUCUUCCACAAUGGACGAAAGUCUGAUGGAGCAACGCCGCGUGAACGAUGAAGGCUUUCGGGUCGUAAAGUUCUGUUGUAAGGGAAGAACAAGUGCCGCAGGCAAUGGCGGCACCUUGACGGUACCUUGCGAGAAAGCCACGGCUAACUACGUGCCAGCCGCCGCCGUAA
RNAcentral lists this ribosomal RNA (524 nucleotides) under uncultured bacterium. RNAcentral's name for it is "partial 16S ribosomal RNA". It matches the Rfam family "Bacterial small subunit ribosomal RNA", at positions 28 to 523 of the family's 1533-position model. The record is from RNAcentral.